Molecule: ribosomal RNA, 372 nt
Filed under: uncultured organism
Description: partial 16S ribosomal RNA
Rfam family: Bacterial small subunit ribosomal RNA
Source: RNAcentral
GUAGGUGGCAAGCGUUGUCCGGAAUUAUUGGGCGUAAAGCGCGCGCAGGCGGUUCUUUAAGUCUGAUGUGAAAGCCCACGGCUCAACCGUGGAGGGUCAUUGGAAACUGGAGAACUUGAGUACAGAAGAGGAAAGCGGAAUUCCACGUGUAGCGGUGAAAUGCGUAGAGAUGUGGAGGAACACCAGUGGCGAAGGCGGCUUUCUGGUCUGUAACUGACGCUGAGGCGCGAAAGCGUGGGGAGCAAACAGGAUUAGAUACCCUGGUAGCCCACGCCGUAAACGAUGAGUGCUAAGUGUUAGGGGGUUUCCGCCCCCCUUGGUGCUGCAGCUAACGCAUUAAGCACUCCGCCUGGGAGUACGGCCGCAAGGCUG